This 301-nucleotide ribosomal RNA is filed under the name uncultured bacterium. Its description in RNAcentral is "partial 16S ribosomal RNA". It matches the Rfam family "Bacterial small subunit ribosomal RNA", at positions 509 to 809 of the family's 1533-position model. The record is from RNAcentral.
CAGCAGCCGCGGUAAUACGGAGGGUGCAAGCGUUAAUCGGAAUUACUGGGCGUAAAGCGUGCGUAGGCGGCUAAUUGAGUCGGAUGUGAAAUCCCCGAGCUUAACUUGGGAAUUGCAUUCGAUACUGGUUAGCUAGAGUGUGGGAGAGGAUGGUAGAAUUCCAGGUGUAGCGGUGAAAUGCGUAGAGAUCUGGAGGAAUACCGAUGGCGAAGGCAGCCAUCUGGCCUAACACUGACGCUGAGGUACGAAAGCAUGGGGAGCAAACAGGAUUAGAUACCCCGGUAGUCCCUGUCUCUUAUAU